CCGGCGGCACGUUGUAGAUAGUUUAUAGACCGAAACAGAUUAUAGACCGAAACAGAUGGAUUAAGUGCCAAAGUAUUGAAGUGUUUAUUGAUUAUGUAUACGUGUGCAUGCAUCACGAUAACAACACAUUUCUUAUUCAAUAAACAAACCUACAUUUCUUGAGAUAUCGUUGUCUUGACCAGCAACCUGUAGCCUUCAGCAAUCCAACCAGUGGUUGAAAAAGAGAUUUUACAUCUAUGGCAAAUUCUAAGGUCAUUUUCUUGUUGUGUUUUGAUGUUUUCCAUUGGCCGAAGAACCAGCAAUCCAGACCAGCUAAAACCAGCCUGGCCAGCUAAGACCAGCCUGACCAGCUUAAACAAGCCUGGCCAUCUUAAACCAGCCUGGCCAUCUUAAACCAGCCUGACCAGCUAAAACCAGCCUGACCAGCUAAGACCAGCCACCCGACCAGCUAAGACCAGCUUAAACCAGCCUGGCCAGCUUAAACCAGCUAAAACUAGUCUGACCAGCUAAGACCAGCCAUCCUGACCAGCUAA
Non-coding RNA from Misgurnus anguillicaudatus (oriental weatherfish), 533 nucleotides. The record is from RefSeq and is a predicted model, not a curated record. Lineage: Eukaryota; Metazoa; Chordata; Actinopteri; Cypriniformes; Cobitidae.